This 85-nucleotide ribosomal RNA is filed under the name Disa remota. RNAcentral describes it as "partial 25S ribosomal RNA". It matches the Rfam family "Eukaryotic large subunit ribosomal RNA", at positions 1 to 82 of the family's 3401-position model. The record is from RNAcentral. Lineage: Eukaryota; Viridiplantae; Streptophyta; Magnoliopsida; Asparagales; Orchidaceae.
UUGUGACCCCAGGUUGGGCGGGGUGACCCGCUGAGUUUAAGCAUAUCAAUAAGCGGAGGAGAGGAAACUUACGAGGAUUCCCUUA